RNAcentral lists this transfer RNA (87 nucleotides) under Marinospirillum alkaliphilum DSM 21637. RNAcentral describes it as "tRNA_Leu_CAA". It matches the Rfam family "tRNA". Rfam says of the family: Transfer RNA (tRNA) molecules are approximately 80 nucleotides in length. Their secondary structure includes four short double-helical elements and three loops (D, anti-codon, and T loops). Lineage: Bacteria; Pseudomonadati; Pseudomonadota; Gammaproteobacteria; Oceanospirillales; Oceanospirillaceae. The record is from RNAcentral.
GCCGGAAUGGCGGAAUCGGUAGACGCAGCGGAUUCAAAAUCCGCCGCCCGAAAGGGUGUGCCGGUUCGAGUCCGGCUUCCGGUACCA